UGGGGUGUAGCUCAGUGGUAGAGCACUUGCCUGGCAUGUGCAAGACCCUGGGUCCCAUCCCCAGCACCAAAA
This 72-nucleotide transfer RNA is filed under the name Fukomys damarensis (Damara mole-rat). It matches the Rfam family "tRNA". Rfam says of the family: Transfer RNA (tRNA) molecules are approximately 80 nucleotides in length. Their secondary structure includes four short double-helical elements and three loops (D, anti-codon, and T loops). Further hydrogen bonds mediate the characteristic L-shaped molecular structure. tRNAs have two regions of fundamental functional importance: the anti-codon, which is responsible for specific mRNA codon recognition, and the 3' end, to which the tRNAs corresponding amino acid is attached (by aminoacyl-tRNA synthetases). tRNAs cope with the degeneracy of the genetic code in two manners: having more than one tRNA (with a specific anti-codon) for a particular amino acid; and 'wobble' base-pairing, i.e. permitting non-standard base-pairing at the 3rd anti-codon position. The record is from Rfam by way of RNAcentral. Lineage: Eukaryota; Metazoa; Chordata; Mammalia; Rodentia; Bathyergidae.